GCGGGAGUAAUUCAGUGGUAGAAUGUCAGCUUCCCAAGCUGACCGUCGCCGGUUCGCUCCCGGUCUCCCGCU
This 72-nucleotide transfer RNA is filed under the name Lentisphaerota bacterium. RNAcentral describes it as "Lentisphaerae bacterium (anaerobic digester metagenome) tRNA-Gly". It matches the Rfam family "tRNA". From Rfam's summary of the family: Transfer RNA (tRNA) molecules are approximately 80 nucleotides in length. Their secondary structure includes four short double-helical elements and three loops (D, anti-codon, and T loops). The record is from RNAcentral. Lineage: Bacteria; Pseudomonadati; Lentisphaerota.